RNAcentral lists this ribosomal RNA (275 nucleotides) under uncultured Staphylococcus sp. RNAcentral's name for it is "partial 16S ribosomal RNA". It matches the Rfam family "Bacterial small subunit ribosomal RNA", at positions 505 to 778 of the family's 1533-position model. Lineage: Bacteria; Bacillati; Bacillota; Bacilli; Caryophanales; Staphylococcaceae. The record is from RNAcentral.
GUGCCAGCAGCCGCGGUAAUACGUAGGCGGCAAGCGUUAUCCGGAAUUAUUGGGCGUAAAGCGCGCGUAGGCGGUUUUUUAAGUCUGAUGUGAAAGCCCACGGCUCAACCGUGGAGGGUCAUUGGAAACUGGAAAACCUGAGUGCAGAAGAGGAAAGUGGAAUUCCAUGUGUAGCGGUGAAAUGCGCAGAGAUAUGGAGGAACACCAGUGGCGAAGGCGACUUUCCUGGUCUGUAACUGACGCUGAUGUGCGAAAGCGUGGGGAUCAAACAGGAU